GGGCCCGCACAAGCGGUGGAGCAUGUGGUUUAAUUCGAUGCAACGCGAAGAACCUUACCAGGCCUUGACAUCCCCGGAACUUUCUAGAGAUAGAUUGGUGCCUUCGGGAACCGGGUGACAGGUGCUGCAUGGCUGUCGUCAGCUCGUGUCGUGAGAUGUUGGGUUAAGUCCCGUAACGAGCGCAACCCUUGUCCUUAGUUGCCAGCGGGUAAUGCCGGGAACUCUAGCGAAACUGCCGGUGCAAACCGUGAGGAAGGUGGGGAUGACGUCAAAUCAUCACGGCCCUUACGUCCUGGGCUACACACGUGCUACAAUGGUCGGUACAGAGAGCAGCCACUACGCGAGUAGGAGCG
RNAcentral lists this ribosomal RNA (353 nucleotides) under uncultured bacterium. Its description in RNAcentral is "bacterial SSU rRNA". It matches the Rfam family "Bacterial small subunit ribosomal RNA", at positions 917 to 1269 of the family's 1533-position model. The record is from RNAcentral.